GUGGGGAAUAUUGGACAAUGGGCGAAAGCCUGAUCCAGCCAUGCCGCGUGAGUGAUGAAGGCCCUAGGGUUGUAAAGCUCUUUCAACGGUGAAGAUAAUGACGGUAACCGUAGAAGAAGCCCCGGCUAACUUCGUGCCAGCAGCCGCGGUAAUACGAAGGGGGCUAGCGUUGUUCGGAAUUACUGGGCGUAAAGCGCACGUAGGCGGAUUGUUAAGUGAGGGGUGAAAUCCCAGGGCUCAACCCUGGAACUGCCUUUCAUACUGGCAAUCUAGAGUCCGGAAGAGGUGAGUGGAAUUCCGAGUGUAGAGGUGAAAUUCGUAGAUAUUCGGAGGAACACCAGUGGCGAAGGCGGCUCACUGGUCCGGUACUGACGCUGAGGUGCGAAAGCGUGGGGAGCAAACAGGAUUAGAAACCCUAGUAGUCC
RNAcentral lists this ribosomal RNA (425 nucleotides) under uncultured bacterium. RNAcentral describes it as "bacterial SSU rRNA". It matches the Rfam family "Bacterial small subunit ribosomal RNA", at positions 354 to 796 of the family's 1533-position model. The record is from RNAcentral.